Cheilinus undulatus (humphead wrasse) is the source of this 485-nucleotide long non-coding RNA. RefSeq lists it as uncharacterized. The transcript is spliced from 2 exons. NCBI's taxonomy places the organism in Eukaryota, Metazoa, Chordata, Actinopteri, Labriformes, Labridae. The record is from RefSeq and is a predicted model, not a curated record.
CCUACUGAUACAAUCAUGGCAGAGCAGGGAGGAGGAGCCUCAGGAGGUUAUUUAAGAGAUGGGUGUGGUUAUCGGCCUCCCUUUGUCCUUGAGCCUGCUCUGUCCAUGCUGCCACAGCACUUAAGUAGAAGUUUGUUUGACCACUGAAACCACAAAGAAGAUCUAGAGACUUAGAAUUGUUUGUCUACUUUAAAGGACACAUAUGAGUGAGUACAUUUCCUACCUAAGUUUAGAAAGAAUAAUCUAAUUUGACACAGUGCACUAAUUUAUGUUUGUUUAGCAGGAAGCUGAAGCAAUUCCUCACUCCUUGUGUAACAUAUUGGAUGCAUAAAUUAAUGUAAGUUGAUCCCUGUUAGCUUUAAUUUAAUUGUGAUAUGUGCGUGGCAAUGUUUUGAUUUGAUAUAUCUGUUUGUACAGAAAAUCAUCCAUCCAUCCACCUAUUCAUCCAUCCUUCCAUCUUCAUCUUCAAUAAAUGGUUAAUCUGA